RNAcentral lists this ribosomal RNA (253 nucleotides) under uncultured bacterium. RNAcentral's name for it is "partial 16S ribosomal RNA". It matches the Rfam family "Bacterial small subunit ribosomal RNA", at positions 524 to 776 of the family's 1533-position model. The record is from RNAcentral.
AACGUAGGUGGCAAGCGUUAUCCGGAAUUACUGGGCGUAAAGGGUGUGCAGGCGGGGAAGCAAGUGGGGGAUGAAAUCUCCCAGCUUAACUGGGAUAGGUUAUGCCAGACUGCUUUUCUAGAGGACGAGAGAGGGGGGUGGAAUUCCUGGUGUAGCGGUGAAAUGCGCAGAUAUCAGGAGGAACACCAAUGGCGAAGGCAGCACUCUGGGACGUGACUGACGCUGAGACGCGAAAGCGUGGGGAGCAAACAGG